This 391-nucleotide ribosomal RNA is filed under the name uncultured bacterium. Its description in RNAcentral is "bacterial SSU rRNA". It matches the Rfam family "Bacterial small subunit ribosomal RNA", at positions 28 to 420 of the family's 1533-position model. The record is from RNAcentral.
GACGAACGCUGGCGGCGUGCUUAACACACGCAAGUCGAGCGGUAAGGCCCUUUCGGGGGUACACGAGCGGCGAACGGGUGAGUAACACGUGGGUGACCUGCCCUCAGCUCUGGGAUAAGCCUGGGAAACUGGGUCUAAUACUGGAUAUGACUCCACGGUGCAUGUCGUGGGGUGGAAAGCCUUGUGCGGCUGAGGAUGGGCCCGCGGCCUAUCAGCUUGUUGGUGGGGUGANGGCCUACCAAGGCGACGACGGGUAGCCGGCCUGAGAGGGCGACCGGCCACACUGGGACUGAGACACGGCCCAGACUCCUACGGGAGGCAGCAGUGGGGAAUCUUGCGCAAUGGGCGAAAGCCUGACGCAGCGACGCCGCGUGAGGGAUGACGGCCUGGU